Molecule: ribosomal RNA, 213 nt
Filed under: Helotiales sp.
Lineage: Eukaryota; Fungi; Ascomycota; Leotiomycetes; Helotiales
Description: partial large subunit ribosomal RNA
Source: RNAcentral
AAGCGCUUGCAACCAGACUUGCGCGCUGUUGAUCAUCCGAGCUUCUGCCCGGUGCACUCAGCAGCGUUCAGGCCAGCAUCGGUUUUGGUGGGCGGAUAAAGGCCUUGGGAAUGUAUCUACCCACGGGUAGACUUAUAGACCGGGGUGUCAUGCGACCUCUCGGGACCGAGGAACGCGCUUCGGCUCGGAUGUUGGCGUAAUGGUUGUCAGCGA